GGAAAGGUAAUGAUAACAUGGAGAAACGUGAGUGAUGAAUCAAUAAAAUAAGUUAACAUUGAGCAUGAAUUGUAACGUAACGUUAAUGCAGUAGAAAAAUUAAAUCAAUCUCGGUUGAAGCUUGAAUACAAUAUAAAAAAAAAAAAAACUUCUUGAACUAUAAUUAAAGGACGUUAAAAUGCUGCCAGUGUGCUUCCCAAGAUAAAGAAAAAGAUAGUGAAUACAACGUUUCAGCUGUAGCCCUCCAUUGGCGGCUUCUCCAAGGAAUAUCUCAUGCUGUCCCUGCACCCAAAACUGUUCCAGCCGAAGCUAAAGAAAAAAAAAUGAGUGGUGGUUGGUUGUUAACGUUCCAGCACUUUCUUUUUUCCAAAAACUACAGCUCAACCAUUUUUAUGUGACGACUGCCCUCCUACUAAGAGGCCAAGUGUUGCCUCUAAAUGAGGUGGGUCCACCUUAUUUGCAAAACCCUAGGUGCCAUGUGUCCU
This 485-nucleotide long non-coding RNA is filed under the name Vigna radiata. RNAcentral describes it as "long non-coding RNA (VRAD_LNC014692)". Lineage: Eukaryota; Viridiplantae; Streptophyta; Magnoliopsida; Fabales; Fabaceae. The record is from RNAcentral.